RNAcentral lists this ribosomal RNA (248 nucleotides) under uncultured bacterium. RNAcentral's name for it is "partial 16S ribosomal RNA". It matches the Rfam family "Bacterial small subunit ribosomal RNA", at positions 15 to 252 of the family's 1533-position model. The record is from RNAcentral.
GAUCCUGGCUCAGGAUGAACGCUAGCUACAGGCUUAACACAUGCAAGUCGAGGGGCAGCAUGGACCCAGCUUUGCUGGGUUUGAUGGCGACCGGCGCACGGGUGAGUAACGCGUAUCCAACCUGCCCUUUACUCCUUGAUAGUCUCCUGAAAGGGAGUUUAAUACCGGAUGUGUUUGUCUUUCCGCAUGGGAGCGACAAAUAAAGAUUAAUUGGUAAAGGAUGGGGAUGCGUCCCAUUAGCUUGUUGG